Molecule: ribosomal RNA, 497 nt
Filed under: uncultured bacterium
Lineage: Bacteria
Description: partial 16S ribosomal RNA
Rfam family: Bacterial small subunit ribosomal RNA
Source: RNAcentral
GAUGAACGCUGGCGGCGUGCCUAAUACAUGCAAGUCGAGCGAACAGACGAGGAGCUUGCUCCUCUGACGUUAGCGGCGGACGGGUGAGUAACACGUGGAUAACCUACCUAUAAGACUGGGAUAACUUCGGGAAACCGGAGCUAAUACCGGAUAAUAUAUUGAACCGCAUGGUUCAAUAGUGAAAGACGGUUUUGCUGUCACUUAUAGAUGGAUCCGCGCCGCAUUAGCUAGUUGGUAAGGUAACGGCUUACCAAGGCGACGAUGCGUAGCCGACCUGAGAGGGUGAUAGGCCACACUGGAACGGAGACACGGUCCAGACUCCUACGGGAGGCAGCAGUAGGGAAUCUGCCGCAAAGGGCGAAAGCCUGACGGAGCAACGCCGCGUGAGUGAUGAAGGUCUUCGGAUCGUAAAACUCUGUUAUUAGGGAAGAACAAAUGUGUAAGUAACUAUGCACGUCUUGACGGUACCUAAUCAGAAAGCCACGGCUAACUACGUG